GGGGUUAACCUGGACAGAAGAGGAAUGGUAUGCAGCAGAUCCAACACCUCGCUCAAAUAUAUUUCUUUUCUUAGUGGUGGGAUAAAACUUUUUUGAUUAAAGUAGUUUUAUUACUAUUUUUGUUACAUUAUUAUUAAAUAUCAUGUGAUGUGCAUUUUCAUACAUGCAGAGGGGAAUCAAGAGAGCAGACAUUGGAUAUGUCUUCAGAGUGCAUUUACAGAAGUUAAACAUCUCUUCAGUGGUUUUUGAAAGAAUUGAGGGAAAUUCAGAAGAUACUGAAGGAAAUUUCUCUAAGAUAUUUAGUCUUUCCAGAUGGAAUAAGGCAAUACCAAAUGCUCAGUAGUAGACUUUAAUAUCAUUGAUACCCUGGAAGAAUAUGUUUAGACAGUGCAUCCAGCUCCCCUUUUGGCCUCUUGAACACCUGAAGAGAACAUCCAGUAAGGAGUUUUGGAGUGUCAGUAGCAACCAAUGUUGAUUUUUUUUCCCAGCUUUUCUCUGGCCAUUAAGAAAAUGUAAGUGGAGUCACACAGCAUGUGUUUUUUCUGUCUUUGAUUUCUUUUAUUCAAUGUGAUGUGCCUAAGAUGAAUCCAUGUACAUGCAGGUAGUGUAAUUGUUUCCCCUUUGGCUCCUUUAUAGUUCACAGAUGAAUGUGUAUGAAUGUGCCAAGUAUUGUUUAAAUCAAUUUCCUACUGAUAGACACUGAGGAC
Molecule: long non-coding RNA, 707 nt
Filed under: Oryctolagus cuniculus (rabbit)
Lineage: Eukaryota; Metazoa; Chordata; Mammalia; Lagomorpha; Leporidae
Description: lncRNA (ENSOCUG00000036657.1)
Source: RNAcentral